This 2062-nucleotide unclassified non-coding RNA is filed under the name Hevea brasiliensis (rubber tree). The record is from RNAcentral. Lineage: Eukaryota; Viridiplantae; Streptophyta; Magnoliopsida; Malpighiales; Euphorbiaceae.
CCCAAUUGAUGAUUGUUGGAGAUGUGAUUCUGAAUGGGAAACUAACCGAAAAGUGCUGGCCGAUUGUGCAAUUGGGUUUGGACGCAACGCUGUAGGGGGGCAAGAUGGUGACAUUUAUGUGGUCAAAGAUUCUGAAAAUGAUGAUCCUGCAAACCCAAUUCCUGGCACACUUCGCUACGGUGUCAUCCAAGAAGAACCGCUGUGGAUCAUCUUUGAUCACGACAUGGUCAUCACGCUAAAGGAAGAACUGAUGAUGAACUCAUACAAAACAAUAGAUGGAAGAGGGUAUAACAUCCAGAUAGCAGAUGGACCAUGCGUAACAAUUCAAAACGUAAGUAACAUUAUCAUACAUAACAUCUACAUACGUGACUGUGUACCAGGUGGAAAUACAAUGGUUAGGGAUUCACCCAAGCAUGUUGGCAUGAGAGGUUACUCUGAUGGGGAUGGCAUAUCGAUAUUUGGGUCUAGGGAUGUCUGGAUUGAUCAUUGUACACUAGCCAACUGCCGUGAUGGACUAAUUGAUGCUGUAGUUGGCUCAACGUCUAUUACAAUCUCAAACAAUUACAUGUUGCAUCACAAUGAAGUUAUGCUUAUGGGUCAUAGUGAUGACUUCCUCGAUGACAAGAAUAUGCAAGUCACUAUAGCCUUCAACUUUUUUGGCGAAGGUCUGACACAAAGAAUGCCUAGGUGCAGGCAUGGCUAUUUUCACAUUGUAAAUAACAUAUACACUGGAUGGGAGAUGUAUGCAAUUGGUGGAAGUGCAAAUCCAACAAUUAAUAGCCAAGGGAAUAUCUUCAUUGCAUCAGAUAACAACUCUACAAAGGAGGAAAGUUUCUUUGGAACCAAUCAUAACUAAUAAUCACUGGCAUCCACUCAAUAACCUAGGAGCACCAAAAUAAAUAUAACAUUCCAAAUAUCAAAUUUAACACUUCUAGCAAUUGAUAACCAAAACUAUUCCUAGGAAAGCUGAUCUUAUCCAGCACAAUUAGGGAUGACGACAGUCUAUCACAGAUAAGGUGAAAGUACUAAAACAGAAUGCAUAAUGUCAAAUCAUUUGCACAUGUGAAUAACUAAUAAGCUAGGAAGUUCUUCAACAUAUUGGGUUGGGUCAAACUAGCACACACAAACUUUGACCAGCACCUGGUUAGACCAAUACCUCAUUUUCUUAACUGAGAGGAUACAAUCGGCUUCCUUUCUAAAGAUCUGCUCUCAUUCAGGUGACUAAACGGGAAGCCAUCCCAGGAGAUGAGGAGUGGAAAAAUUGGAAUUGGAGAUCAGAUGGAGAUGUGAUGCUCAACGGUGCUUUCUUUACACCUUCUGGUGAAACAGGUCCUCAAAGUUACAUAAAAGCAUCAAGCAUGGUAGCAAGACCAGCUUCAUUUUUAACAAAUACUUCUCCUUCUGCUGGAGCUCUCUAUUGUCAGAGAGGGAUACCAUGCUAAUGCUAGACACAGGCCAGCUAAAUAUCUGCCCUUUAUUCUUUUUCAUAGUUUUUGGUUAGUUAAAUUUUGAACUAAAGCUUCAAUUGCUUUCAAUCCCAUCACUGUCAAGUUCAGGUCUCACAGACAAUCAAGAUGUAAUGAUAAAUCAGUAAUGACUAGGAAUUUACACAAGCUUUUAUAAUCCCCUAUGUAAGAAAAAAAAAUUAUAGGGGCUGCUAUUCUUGACAAUUUAGUAAAAAAUCAUGGUUAGGUCAGGAAAGUAAAUUACAAAUCUGUGCUCAUUCUUCUAACAAAGGGGACAAAAUUAUUCCAGUUUUCAACAGCAAAAAUUUUAUCAUUCAAUCUGAAAUAAGUAAAUGACCUUACAGCCUCUGCCUGUGGAUGAUAGCAGUUCGCAAGUAUUUGCCUUAGUCCUUUCUGUAAGAAAAUUGCAUGCAAGGAUUAUGUUAGGAAAGAAAAAGAAACAGAACUCAGGGAACACAUGCAUACACUCACAAUCAUAAAUAUUUAUGUUCAUGAAAUCACAGAAAGUGGAAAGAAAAAGGAAAAAUUAAAAAAAAUUUAACAUCAACUUAAUAAAAGGAUAAAGCAAAACUAUUUUGAACUCAACUAAAUAAAAC